Molecule: non-coding RNA, 68 nt
Organism: Ylistrum balloti
Lineage: Eukaryota; Metazoa; Mollusca; Bivalvia; Pectinida; Pectinidae
Source: the annotation of a RefSeq genome assembly
CCGCUUUUAGUUUAUGUAGAACGUCGGUCUUGUAAGUCGAAGGGGUUGGUUUAUUCCUGCAAGGCGGU